Molecule: ribosomal RNA, 253 nt
Filed under: uncultured bacterium
Lineage: Bacteria
Description: partial 16S ribosomal RNA
Rfam family: Bacterial small subunit ribosomal RNA
Source: RNAcentral
UACGUAGGGGGCAAGCGUUGUCCGGAUUUAUUGGGCGUAAAGAGCGUGUAGGCGGCCUGACAGUUCUGCUGUGAAAACUCGAGGCUCAACCUCGAGCUGUCGGCGGAAACCAUCUGGCUAGAGUCCGGAAGAGGAGAGUGGAAUUCCUGGUGUAGCGGUGAAAUGCGCAGAUAUCAGGAAGAACACCUAUGGCGAAGGCAGCUCUCUGGGACGGUACUGACGCUGAGACGCGAAAGCGUGGGGAGCAAACAGG